GCCAGACUCCUACGGGAGGCAGCAGUAGGGAAUCUUUCACAAUGGGCGAAAGCCUGAUGGAGCAACGCCGCGUGAUCGAAUGAAGGCCUUCGGGUUGUAAAGAUCUGUUGAUAGGGACGAAUAAGCAAUGCGAAUAGUUUUGUGUAUGACGGUACCUGUUUAGAAAGCCCCGGCUAACUACGUGCCAGCAGCCGCGGUAAUACGUAGGGGGCAAGCGCUAUCCGGAUUUACUGGGUGUAAAGGGAGCGUAGACGGUCCUGCAAGCCAGAUGUGAAAGCCCGGGGCUCAACCCCGGGACUGCAUUUGGAACUGUAAGGCUAGAGUGUCGGAGAGGCAGGCGGAAUUCCUAGUGUAGCGGUGAAAUGCGUAGAUAUUAGGAGGAACACCAGUGGCGAAGGCGGCCUACUGGGCUUUAACUGACGCUGAGGCACGAAAGCGUGGGGAGCAAACAGGAUUAGAUACCCGGACU
RNAcentral lists this ribosomal RNA (469 nucleotides) under uncultured bacterium. Its description in RNAcentral is "bacterial SSU rRNA". It matches the Rfam family "Bacterial small subunit ribosomal RNA", at positions 330 to 792 of the family's 1533-position model. The record is from RNAcentral.